RNAcentral lists this ribosomal RNA (494 nucleotides) under uncultured fungus. RNAcentral's name for it is "SSU rRNA". It matches the Rfam family "Eukaryotic small subunit ribosomal RNA", at positions 215 to 721 of the family's 1831-position model. The record is from RNAcentral. Lineage: Eukaryota; Fungi.
AUAAAAAUCAACUUUGUUGGUGAAUCAUAAUAACUUCUCGGACCGCAUGGCCUCGUGCUGGCGGUGCUUCAUUCAAAUAUCUGCCCUAUCAACUGUCGAUGGUAGGAUAGAGGCCUACCAUGGUUGCAACGGGUAACGGGGAAUAAGGGUUCGAUUCCGGAGAGGGAGCCUGAGAAACGGCUACCACAUCCAAGGAAGGCAGCAGGCGCGCAAAUUACCCAAUCCCAACACGGGGAGGUAGUGACAAUAUGUAACAAUAUACGGCCUUAUACGUCGUAUAAUUGGAAUGAGUACAAUUUAAAUCCCUUAACGAGGAACAAUUGGAGGGCAAGUCUGGUGCCAGCAGCCGCGGUAAUUCCAGCUCCAAUAGCGUAUAUUAAAGUUGUUGCAGUUAAAAAGCUCGUAGUUGGACCUUGGACCUGGACAGGCGGUCCGCCUUACGGCGAGUACUGUCUUGCUGGGUCUUUCCUCUUGGUGAUCUGUUGUUUCGGCAG